This is an RNA transcript of Chenopodium quinoa (quinoa), 4256 nucleotides long. RefSeq lists it as uncharacterized. Lineage: Eukaryota; Viridiplantae; Streptophyta; Magnoliopsida; Caryophyllales; Amaranthaceae. The transcript has 7 exons. The record is from RefSeq and is a predicted model, not a curated record.
AUUCGGGGAGGGGGGUUGAUUUCGCUGAGUUUGUGGUGGGGAAGGGGGGAUUCCGGUGGUGGGGGAUGAGGAGAAGGGCUGCCGGAGGGUGGGGGAUGGGAAGGGGGCUGUCGGAAAAUAGGGAACGGUGGUGGUGGUGGGGAUGGGAUGGGCAGAUGGGCUGGCUAGUAUUUUUUUUGAUAAAACCCAUAUUAUCAGAUGGGUCGGAUAUUAGAUAUUUGGAUAUCCGAAAAUUUUAGAUCGGAUACGGAUAUCAAAUAGUAGUAUCUGAUUUUUCAAAUACGGAUAUCUGAUUUUGGUCAUUUCUCAUCGGCAAAUUCAUAAACUUGAUUACAAAUUGAUUCAAAAUUUCCCGCUAAUACAUUCAUACAUCAUCUCUCAUUCUCUGUUUCUCUCCCUCUCAAAUUCUCUCUCUCUCUUCUUUGAGUGCUGAUCAAUUCUCAACAGUGGAGCAAGCAAUUGUGACCUCUUCAUCGCCGCAAAUCAAUCCUAAUUCUCAACUUUCUUCUCUUCUUUACGGUAAUUUUCUCUCUCAUCUCUCUCUCACAACUCUCUGUUUCAAUUUUCAGUUUCAGCUUUUUCAUUUGCUCAACGAUUUACCAUAUCACAUUGAAUUUGUGGCUUAACUAAAUUUGUUUUGAUCGUUUAUUUUCGAGCAAGUUUGUCUUAAUUAUCGGUAAAUUAUCAAUUUCUUUCGGUGUGUGAUCGUUGAUUAUCCACUACUUUUUCAUAGAAAUUUUUCUGCAUCAUAGAUCGAGCUUAAUUUCUACGGUAUCUACUCAAUUUUCGCCCAUCUUUGAGUAUAUACUCUAACAUUUGUUUAAUUCAAGUGUUCUAAAUUGUUCAGAUUCAAUUAUUGUGGAAUUUAGCUGUUUUUUGUCCUAAAUUGUGAAUUAUAAUCUUCUUCAGCAUGUGUGUAACGGUGUCAAUAUCUUGUUGAAUACUGUUUACAUUUGAUUUUGUGCUAAUGCUUAGUUUCGCAGCUUCGAUUUGGAUAUAUUUGCUAUGUUGAUCAUAAAUGCACUAUGCUUAUUGUUUGAUCUCUGAAAUUGAACGGCAUAAAGAGAAUACUGUGGCUAAAUUUGACUAAUAAUUGUUCGCAUAUUGCUUCUCUCUCUUAAUUGAUCAUAAAUGCAUAUAUCAGUCAUCAGAUAUAUGUUUAUUGCAUGCUGUUUCAGUGAUCUUUUUUGAUCCGAUUGUCAAUUUGGCUGAAGUUCUGAAUUACUGAGUAGAUUUUGCAUAUGAUACAAUAUCAAAUUGAAUUUGUGGUUUAACUAAAAUUCAUAUGUAGCGUUUCAUUAGUAUGUAUUCAAUCUCAUUCUUGAGUAAGUGUGUAUUUUACCGAAGAAUUUUCAAUUUCUUUCGAUUUGCAAUCAUUGAUUAUCCAUUAUUUUUAUUCAUGUAAAUUUCUCUGCAUUAUUGAUCACUUCUGCUGUUUCUAGUCAAUUUUGGCUCAUUUUUGUGUCAAUUUUGGCUCAUUUUUGUGUAUUUUAUCUAAUUUUUCAGUAAAAUUAGUGUUCUGAUUUGUUCAGAUUCAAUUAUUGAGGAACUUAGCAGUUUUUUUUUUGUUGAAUUUUGCUUGAGUGUUACGCUAUCAAUGUUUUGCUGAUUGAAUACUGUAUACAUUUGAUUUUGCGCUAGUGAAAUAGUUUCUCAACCUUGAUUUGAUAUCUUUGAUUGCUUCGUUGAUCAUAAAUGCACUAUGCUUAUUGCUUGAUCUAUGAAAUUGAACGGCGUAAAGAGAAUACCGUGGCUAAAUUUGACUAAUAAUUGUUUGCUUGUUGCUUCUCUCUCUUCGUCGAUUAUAAAUGCAUAUAUCAGAUAUAUGUUUAUUGCUUGCUGUUUCAGUGAUCUUUUUUGUCUGAUGGCCAAUUUAGCUAAAAUUCUGAAUUACUGAGUAGAUUUUGCAGUUGAGUCACCAUUGUUGAUGGCUUGAUGUAUCAAUAAUUGAGUGUUAUAAGGUUUAGUGUAGCACCUCAUUAUCCAAUAGGAUGGAAGCUUAGAAAAAUGGAGAAGAGUAAAAUCAAAAGGAGUGAAAGGCAGAAGAGAGAAAGAGAAAGAAUUGGAAGGUUGAAGAAGUAAAUCUACCAAAAAAAUCGAUACAAAGAUGUAUAUUAAGCUAGGUGUUUGAAUCAAGCAAUAUAUUUCGACCUGUAAAAGGUUAUUAGGCUAGUUGAAGAAGUAAAUCGACCAAAAAAAAUCGAUCCUAAAGCACCUUUUUGUAACUAAUUAAUCUAGUUUGUUAUAGUUUGUUGUAUACUGUAUAUAUACUUAAGCAUUGUAAUAUUAUUACAUUACUCAUUCAUACAUUGUAUAAUCUGAAAAAAAAAAUUCUUUCAGAAAUAAGAAAUCUCUCCUGAUGUUCUUCUCUCUUCUCUGAGUUCUAUUAGUUUUUUCACUGUUUCAAUCAUGGCUGCUGAAUCUUCAAACACAAACUCAAAAGAAGUCAUAAACAUUAAAUUGAAUUCAAUACUCCAACUGAGGCAGUCAAUGGAAUCUCUUUGUUUUGCUAACUCAAAUGGCAUGGGGAGAUUGGACAUUACCGGGGAGAGUUUCGAGAUUACGGUUCGCAACGCAGAAACCAAUGUUGUUCUUCAUCUUUGCUUGAACCGUUCUGAGCUGAUCGAGUUCAAAUGCAGCAAACACAUUACUGGAAAGCUGAUUUUUGUGGCAGAGAUUGGACUGAUUAUGCAUUGUGCUAGUGAAGAUGAUACUUUCACCAUUCUUUAUCUUGAUGGGUCCGAUAAGCUAACAUUCAUACAGGGAAGUGAUCCUGAUAAUGAGUACAGUGUGAAGUUGUAUGAUAUGAAUGUGGAAAUUGAGAGAUUUCUUGCGAUCGCCUUCUGUGAGGCUGUUCUGACAUCUUCCUAUCUAAGAAAAAUGAUUCAGCAACUCAAAGAUGUGUGUAAGUUAUAAUGGAGAUAGAAGAGAAAGGUGUGGUUUUCUAUGUUGGAGGACAACCUGACAUUUUGGCGCAUGAUUUCGAAGGGGUAAUGGGGGGUGCUGGAACCAGAGGACUGGAACUUGGUCAGAAAGCUCAAGCUUGUUUAAUAAUGCAUCAUUUGGAAGUAUUGAAGAUAGCAUCAACAUUGGAAGAGCGUCCUAUGUUGUGUUUUCAUCUCCAACCAGACCAACUAGUCAGGAUGCGAUUUGGCCUUCAAGGACUCGGCUAUUUGGAGUUCGUCUACACCACAACAUGGGUUGUGAGGAACAUAAAACCUGAAAGGGUCAUUAGCUUUCAACUAAAGCCAGUACUCAAAGUGAGGUGGCCAUUAUCAUUUCUCGCUAAACAGAAAUUAAACCCCGAAUGCAUAGGAAGGCUGGACAUUACUGAGAAUGGAGGUUUCGAGAUCACGGUCCACAACACCCAAAGCAAAGGUUGUUGCUCACUUUCGAUUGAACUGUCGUGUGAUGAUAGACUUUGAAUGCACCAAACCCAUUAUUGGAAAGACAAUUGAUCUUUUCGAGGUUGAUCAAAUUCUGGGGAAGCGCUCCUGAAGAAAAUCUUCAAACCAUUUAUCAUCUUGACGGCUCUAAUGAGCUAUUCUGCAGAAACGGAAUGGAUCCUAAAAAGGAGUUUAAUUUCAAGCUGGGUGAAGAAAUUGAGAGCAUUCCUGGGAUCACAUUCCUUUGUGAUUGUGAGGGUGCUAUCAAACCUGAACAUCUUAGGGAAUUGGCGGAGUUUCAUCAUUAUUCUGACAUGCCAUCUCAGAAAGUUUCAGUGACAAUAGAUGAGAAAUAUGUGUGGCUUUCCCUUCCUGUAGAGAAUUUUAGUUGGCAUACGACCUAUAAACCUGAAGAGGUUGUUGAAAGCAGGAGAGUAGAAGCAGAUCAGAUGCAUGCCGCAGACUUUAUAAUGCAUCAUUCGAAAGUGUUGAUGAAGGCAGCACAUAUGGCAUCAAAGUUGGCACUAAGGCCUUUGGUGAGUGUUCUUUCAGAACCUCACCAACGUGUCAUGAUCCGAUUUUGCCUCGAAGAAGUUGAACUGGUGUUCUUCUUCGAGGCGACAUCGGUUGUCAAGAAAUCUUUGUUCUGAUAAGCAGUUUUACACGCUUAUGGAUAAGUUUAGCUAUAAGUAGUUUCUAAGUAACUAAUUGACUAUAUAGUGAAAUUCCUAGAAUGUGGAAAAUAGAGUGAAUGUACAAAGCACGACACACAAAGGUACUGUAAAUUUGGCUUGAUUAGAGAAUUAAACAAUGAUUUAGCUUAUCAAGUAUAUGAUAUGCUUGCUUUAUAUGCAUCUUUAGCUGUUAGUA